This 98-nucleotide transfer RNA is filed under the name Methylobacterium brachythecii. RNAcentral describes it as "tRNA-Asn". Lineage: Bacteria; Pseudomonadati; Pseudomonadota; Alphaproteobacteria; Hyphomicrobiales; Methylobacteriaceae. The record is from RNAcentral.
CGGAUGGCUGGCCGAUCUCGGCGGAUGGCGGGGGGUUUAUUGGGCCUCCGCCUUUCUGACGCUGGCCAAGGUCGGCUUGCUCGGCCGGGUCCUGCCGA